RNAcentral lists this ribosomal RNA (601 nucleotides) under uncultured fungus. Its description in RNAcentral is "eukaryotic LSU rRNA". The stretch from base 184 to 337 matches the Rfam family "5.8S ribosomal RNA". Lineage: Eukaryota; Fungi. The record is from RNAcentral.
AGUCGUAACAAGGUUUCCGUAGGUGAACCUGCGGAAGGAUCAUUAAUGAAUUUUAGGACGUUCUUUUUAGAAGUCCGACCCUUUCAUUUUCUUACACUGUGCACACACUUCUUUUUUACACACACUUUUAACACCUUAGUAUAAGAAUGUAAUAGUCUCUUAAUUGAGCAUAAAUAAAAACAAAACUUUCAGCAACGGAUCUCUUGGCUCUCGCAUCGAUGAAGAACGCAGCGAAUUGCGAUAAGUAAUGUGAAUUGCAGAAUUCAGUGAAUCAUCGAAUCUUUGAACGCACCUUGCACUCUUUGGUAUUCCGAAGAGUAUGUCUGUUUGAGUGUCAUGAAACUCUCAACCCCCCUACUUUGUAAUGAGAUGGGUGUGGGCUUGGAUUAUGGUUGUCUGUCGGCGUAAUUGCCGGCUCAACUGAAAUACACGAGCAACCCUAUUGAAAUAAACGGUUUGACUUGGCGUAAUAAUUACUUCGCUAAGGACGUUUUCUUCAAAUAUAAGAGGUGCUUCUAAUUCGCUUCUAAUAGCAUUUAAGCUUUAGACCUCAAAUCAGUCAGGACUACCCGCUGAACUUAAGCAUAUCAAUAAAAAGUCG